RNAcentral lists this transfer RNA (72 nucleotides) under Haliotis rubra (blacklip abalone). RNAcentral describes it as "tRNA-Pro". It matches the Rfam family "tRNA". Rfam says of the family: Transfer RNA (tRNA) molecules are approximately 80 nucleotides in length. Their secondary structure includes four short double-helical elements and three loops (D, anti-codon, and T loops). Lineage: Eukaryota; Metazoa; Mollusca; Gastropoda; Lepetellida; Haliotidae. The record is from RNAcentral.
GGCUCUUUGGUCUAGAGGUAUGAUUCUCGCUUUGGGUGCGAGAGGUCCCGGGUUCGAAUCCCGGAUGAGCCC